UACGAAGGGGGCUAGCGUUGCUCGGAAUCACUGGGCGUAAAGGGUGCGUAGGCGGGUCUUUAAGUCAGGGGUGAAAUCCUGGAGCUCAACUCCAGAACUGCCUUUGAUACUGAAGAUCUUGAGUUCGGGAGAGGUGAGUGGAACUGCGAGUGUAGAGGUGAAAUUCGUAGAUAUUCGCAAGAACACCAGAGGCGAAAGCGGCGACCUGGACAGGUACUGACACUCAACUACGAAAGCGUGGGGAGCAAACAGG
This 253-nucleotide ribosomal RNA is filed under the name uncultured bacterium. RNAcentral's name for it is "partial 16S ribosomal RNA". It matches the Rfam family "Bacterial small subunit ribosomal RNA", at positions 524 to 776 of the family's 1533-position model. The record is from RNAcentral.